RNAcentral lists this ribosomal RNA (3028 nucleotides) under Salmonella enterica subsp. enterica serovar Thompson. Its description in RNAcentral is "bacterial LSU rRNA". It matches the Rfam family "Bacterial large subunit ribosomal RNA". The record is from RNAcentral. Lineage: Bacteria; Pseudomonadati; Pseudomonadota; Gammaproteobacteria; Enterobacterales; Enterobacteriaceae.
GGGUUGUGAGGUUAAGCGACUAAGCGUACACGGUGGAUGCCCUGGCAGUCAGAGGCGAUGAAGGGCGUGCUAAUCUGCGAUAAGCGCCGGUAAGGUGAUAUGAACCGUUAUAACCGGCGAUACCCGAAUGGGGAAACCCAGUGUGACUCGUCACACUAUCAUUAACUGAAUCCAUAGGUUAAUGAGGCGAACCGGGGGAACUGAAACAUCUAAGUACCCCGAGGAAAAGAAAUCAACCGAGAUUCCCCCAGUAGCGGCGAGCGAACGGGGAGGAGCCCAGAGCCUGAAUCAGCAUGUGUGUUAGUGGAAGCGUCUGGAAAGACGCGCGAUACAGGGUGACAGCCCCGUACACAAAAGCGCAUGUGUUGUGAGCUCGAUGAGUAGGGCGGGACACGUGGUAUCCUGUCUGAAUAUGGGGGGACCAUCCUCCAAGGCUAAAUACUCCUGACUGACCGAUAGUGAACCAGUACCGUGAGGGAAAGGCGAAAAGAACCCCGGCGAGGGGAGUGAAAAAGAACCUGAAACCGUGUACGUACAAGCAGUGGGAGCCCCACCACUAAGCCAGUGGUGAACUCCACAUACGCAUCCUUUGCUGAGGAUACGGUUAACGGAGCGAAAGCGACGUUCAACCGCAAAAGAAGCAGAGGGGGCUUAGUGGUGGGGUGACUGCGUACCUUUUGUAUAAUGGGUCAGCGACUUAUAUUCUGUAGCAAGGUUAACCGUAUAGGGGAGCCGUAGGGAAACCGAGUCUUAACCGGGCGUUAAGUUGCAGGGUAUAGACCCGAAACCCGGUGAUCUAGCCAUGGGCAGGUUGAAGGUUGGGUAACACUAACUGGAGGACCGAACCGACUAAUGUUGAAAAAUUAGCGGAUGACCUGUGGCUGGGGGUGAAAGGCCAAUCAAACCGGGAGAUAGCUGGUUCUCCCCGAAAGCUAUUUAGGUAGCGCCUCGUGAAUUCAUCUCCGGGGGUAGAGCACUGUUUCGGCUAGGGGGCCAUCCCGGCUUACCAACCCGAUGCAAACUGCGAAUACCGGAGAAUGUUAUCACGGGAGACACACGGCGGGUGCUAACGUCCGUCGUGAAGAGGGAAACAACCCAGACCGCCAGCUAAGGUCCCAAAGUCAUGGUUAAGUGGGAAACGAUGUGGGAAGGCCCAGACAGCCAGGAUGUUGGCUUAGAAGCAGCCAUCAUUUAAAGAAAGCGUAAUAGCUCACUGGUCGAGUCGGCCUGCGCGGAAGAUGUAACGGGGCUAAACCAUGCACCGAAGCUGCGGCAGCGACACUCAGGUGUUGUUGGGUAGGGGAGCGUUCUGUAAGCCUGUGAAGGUGUGUCGUGAGGCAUGCUGGAGGUAUCAGAAGUGCGAAUGCUGACAUAAGUAACGAUAAAGCGGGUGAAAAGCCCGCUCGCCGGAAGACCAAGGGUUCCUGUCCAACGUUAAUCGGGGCAGGGUGAGUCGACCCCUAAGGCGAGGCCGAAAGGCGUAGUCGAUGGGAAACGGGUUAAUAUUCCCGUACUUGGUGUUACUGCGAAGGGGGGACGGAGAAGGCUAUGUUGGCCGGGCGACGGUUGUCCCGGUUUAAGCGUGUAGGUGUGUGUUCCAGGUAAAUCCGGUUCACUUUAACACUGAGGCGUGAUGACGAGGCACUACGGUGCUGAAGCAACAAAUGCCCUGCUUCCAGGAAAAGCCUCUAAGCAUCAGGUAACAUCAAAUCGUACCCCAAACCGACACAGGUGGUCAGGUAGAGAAUACCAAGGCGCUUGAGAGAACUCGGGUGAAGGAACUAGGCAAAAUGGUGCCGUAACUUCGGGAGAAGGCACGCUGACACGUAGGUGAAGUGAUUUACUCAUGGAGCUGAAGUCAGUCGAAGAUACCAGCUGGCUGCAACUGUUUAUUAAAAACACAGCACUGUGCAAACACGAAAGUGGACGUAUACGGUGUGACGCCUGCCCGGUGCCGGAAGGUUAAUUGAUGGGGUCAGCGCAAGCGAAGCUCCUGAUCGAAGCCCCGGUAAACGGCGGCCGUAACUAUAACGGUCCUAAGGUAGCGAAAUUCCUUGUCGGGUAAGUUCCGACCUGCACGAAUGGCGUAAUGAUGGCCAGGCUGUCUCCACCCGAGACUCAGUGAAAUUGAACUCGCUGUGAAGAUGCAGUGUACCCGCGGCAAGACGGAAAGACCCCGUGAACCUUUACUAUAGCUUGACACUGAACAUUGAGCCUUGAUGUGUAGGAUAGGUGGGAGGCUUUGAAGCGUGGACGCCAGUCUGCGUGGAGCCGACCUUGAAAUACCACCCUUUAAUGUUUGAUGUUCUAACGUGGACCCGUUACCCGGGUUGCGGACAGUGUCUGGUGGGUAGUUUGACUGGGGCGGUCUCCUCCUAAAGAGUAACGGAGGAGCACGAAGGUUGGCUAAUCCUGGUCGGACAUCAGGAGGUUAGUGCAAUGGCAUAAGCCAGCUUGACUGCGAGCGUGACGGCGCGAGCAGGUGCGAAAGCAGGUCAUAGUGAUCCGGUGGUUCUGAAUGGAAGGGCCAUCGCUCAACGGAUAAAAGGUACUCCGGGGAUAACAGGCUGAUACCGCCCAAGAGUUCAUAUCGACGGCGGUGUUUGGCACCUCGAUGUCGGCUCAUCACAUCCUGGGGCUGAAGUAGGUCCCAAGGGUAUGGCUGUUCGCCAUUUAAAGUGGUACGCGAGCUGGGUUUAGAACGUCGUGAGACAGUUCGGUCCCUAUCUGCCGUGGGCGCUGGAGAACUGAGGGGGGCUGCUCCUAGUACGAGAGGACCGGAGUGGACGCAUCACUGGUGUUCGGGUUGUCAUGCCAAUGGCACUGCCCGGUAGCUAAAUGCGGAAGAGAUAAGUGCUGAAAGCAUCUAAGCACGAAACUUGCCCCGAGAUGAGUUCUCCCUGAGACUUAGAGUCUCCUGAAGGAACGUUGAAGACGACGACGUUGAUAGGCCGGGUGUGUAAGCGCAGCGAUGCGUUGAGCUAACCGGUACUAAUGAACCGUGAGGCUUAACCUUACAACGCCGAAG